AGAUGAAUGACAAAUAAAGAUGAAUAUGACUACCACACAUAAUCAUUCUACAAAUAAAGAUGAAUACGCAAAAGAGAGUCACUGAGUAUCCAUUUCAAUGACUCUGCUUUGCAAUGAUGCUGCUUGAGGAAAGGAAGAAAGGGGUUUGGGGGUGGGGAUGACAGAAAUUCAGGAAUCGGUGAUGUGCAACCACCCCUACGAGAAGGAGGGGGAGUCUUUUUUUUUGUUGGGACGAGCAUAUGUAUUUUGGAACCGUGUAUCCAUUUUGUUGUAACAAGGUCUCGCCUUAAUGUUUAUACGCCAUUAAGGCAUUAUUAUUUUUAUCCUUUAGUUUAUUGAACUUUGUUAAUGUUGUUGUAACUAAGACAAAAAUCUGAAAAUUUAUAAUAUUUGAUAUGUAGUUCAAUAGAAAAGAGGGCUUUUGGGAUUAA
Molecule: long non-coding RNA, 431 nt
Organism: Camellia sinensis
Lineage: Eukaryota; Viridiplantae; Streptophyta; Magnoliopsida; Ericales; Theaceae
Source: RefSeq, a predicted model, not a curated record